GAUGAACGCUGGCGGCGUGCCUAAUACAUGCAAGUCGAGCGUACAGACGAGGAGCUUGCUCCUCUGACGUUAGCGGCGGACGGGUGAGUAACACGUGGAUAACCUACCUAUAAGACUGGGAUAACUUCGGGAAACCGGAGCUAAUACCGGAUAAUAUAUUGAACCGCAUGGUUCAAUAGUGAAAGACGGUUUUGCUGUCACUUAUAGAUGGAUCCGCGCCGCAUUAGCUAGUUGGUAAGGUAACGGCUUACCAAGGCAACGAUGCGUAGCCGACCUGAGAGGGUGAUCGGCCACACUGGAACUGAGACACGGUCCAGACUCCUACGGGAGGCAGCAGUAGGGAAUCUUCCGCAAUGGGCGAAAGCCUGACGGAGCAGCGCCGCGUGAGUGAUGAAGGUCUUCGGAUCGUAAAACUCUGUUAUUAGGGAAGAACAAAUGUGUAAGUAACUAUGCACGUCUUGACGGUACCUAACCAGAAAGCCACGGCUAACUACGUG
This 497-nucleotide ribosomal RNA is filed under the name uncultured bacterium. RNAcentral describes it as "partial 16S ribosomal RNA". It matches the Rfam family "Bacterial small subunit ribosomal RNA", at positions 28 to 507 of the family's 1533-position model. The record is from RNAcentral.